RNAcentral lists this ribosomal RNA (496 nucleotides) under uncultured bacterium. RNAcentral describes it as "partial 16S ribosomal RNA". It matches the Rfam family "Bacterial small subunit ribosomal RNA", at positions 29 to 507 of the family's 1533-position model. The record is from RNAcentral.
AUGAACGCUGGCGGCGUGCCUAAUACAUGCAAGUCGAGCGAACAGACGAGGAGUUUGCUCCUCUGACGUUAGCGGCGGACGGGUGAGUAACACGUGGAUAACCUACCUAUAAGACUGGGAUAACUUCGGGAAACCGGAGCUAAUACCGGAUAAUAUAUUGAACCGCAUGGUUCAAUAGUGAAAGACGGUUUUGCUGUCACUUAUAGAUGGAUCCGCGCCGCAUUAGCUAGUUGGUAAGGUAACGGCUUACCAAGGCAACGAUGCGUAGCCGACCUGAGAGGGUGAUCGGCCACACUGGAACUGAGACACGGUCCAGACUCCUACGGGAGGCAGCAGUAGGGAAUCUUCCGCAAUGGGCGAAAGCCUGACGGAGCAACGCCGCGUGAGUGAUGAAGGUCUUCGGAUCGUAAAACUCUGUUAUUAGGGAAGAACAAAUGUGUAAGUAACUAUGCACGUCUUGACGGUACCUAAUCAGAAGGCCACGGCUAACUACGUG